AUGUACUACAAAUUUAGUGGCUUCACGUUUGAGUUGGUGGGAGCAUGGACUUCAGAGGCCUAUAGCCCAUAAGGAUUAAUGCCUGUGGUUUCCACAGAAGCACCACCUAUCAUAUUUGCCAUACCAACUAAGCUGACUUCUGAUUCCACUGCAUAUAAUUUUGCUAGGAAAAACAAAGUUCCAGAGCUGCAGAAGUUUCUCCAGAAAGCUGAUGAUGUGCCCAUCCACCUGAAAUGAGGCUUCCCUGACCAAAUGCUAUACUGGACCACCAUGGUGCUGACUGUGGGUGGGAUACUGCCUGAUCACCCUCUACAUGGCUUCACAGCCCCAAAACA
This 335-nucleotide long non-coding RNA is filed under the name Homo sapiens (human). RNAcentral's name for it is "non-protein coding lnc-CLDN25-2:1". The record is from RNAcentral. Lineage: Eukaryota; Metazoa; Chordata; Mammalia; Primates; Hominidae.